UGCCUCUCUAGGAGGAGGCACUUCCAAGCUCUCUUCAGCACUGCUGGGAGUUGCAGUUCAAUCCUAUCUGGAGGAUCAGGGGUUCCCUACUCAAGAGCUACAAUCCUUCUUGAGAAGGGGUUACGAUGGUGCUGAGAAGGGAAGCUUGGCCAGUCAACAAAGACAGGGUGGCUUUGGAACUGGCCAGUCCCCCUGCUUCCCAGCUGAGCUGUUGCCGCCUUGGCCAUCCUCACUGUCUGUUUCCCCACUCCCCUCCUCAGGCUGGACUAUUGUGACGAAGCGGUGAAGGACCCUGAGCAGGACCUACCUGUUGACAUCCACCAGCCUCCGCCAUUCGUGCACAAGCUCCUGCAGCUGAGCGGUGUCCUGUUUUAUUAUGAGGAUUUCUCAGAGGGGAGUGGCUCUGCGCCAUCCCGUCCCAAAGGAGGAAGCGGACGCAUCUGCCUGCCGAGAACAGGAGGCCUCCUCCAGCCCUUUGCUUCAGAUCGGCAGCUGCUCCAGAUACACAGAGAUGAGAAUCAAGCUUGAAGCAGAAUGAGGCCUUUCCCGGACCCAAGGUCAGCCAGACAGAGAUUGCUGGUUCAUUUGCUAAGUUCUUUAUCAAGCUUUUUCUCCAAAGAGCUCCAAGCAGCUUGCCAUGUUCCUUGGCAGCAAGACUCUGCAAAGGGGGUUAAGCCACCUGGGUCACUUCCGGCAGUUUGAACCCAAGGCGUCUCAGUCUGUGUCUAACCUGCUAGUCUUCCAAAAGCUGUUGGGCUGGAGCUCCUCGAUGCAUUGACCUCUGAGGGGGAUGGGACUAGCAGCCCAGUGGCAUCAGGCGAGCCUCAACUUAGGCCACCCUCCUGUGCUAGGCCAUGCGGGCUCUCCCCUCUGAGGACGGGCGGACGGCGCCCCUCAGCUUACGUUUAAAAGUUUUGUCUGGGAUUCAUUUCACCAUCUGAGGAAGAUUCUGGUCCAUGAAAGUUCAAACUGAAAUAAAAUUGUGGGUCUUUGAA
This is a non-coding RNA of Pogona vitticeps (central bearded dragon), 995 nucleotides long. The record is from RefSeq and is a predicted model, not a curated record. Lineage: Eukaryota; Metazoa; Chordata; Lepidosauria; Squamata; Agamidae.